GUAAAUGUCUUGCUAUCGUAAGGGAAUAUAAAACAAUUGACAUUACUGUGAAAUGGACAAUUGUCACACUUUUCUAUUUAGGAAAAUUUGCGACCGAAAAUUUGGUAUAAUCUGCUACGUAUUUUAUAAGUGGGUAUGGAUAUAUGUGAAUCAAAUUUUAUAACAAACUGACGAAGCCAUAGCGACAAAAAACAAAACACGACGAAACAAUAAACAUUCGUAAAAAACUAAUUUAAAGAGCCAUUCAACGUUACUCCCACAACAACUAGGAGGGUACUCAGAUCCUGCCGUAUAUUCGGGAAAACAAUCAAUACGACAAAAUAAAUAUGCUAAUGUACAUCACCGUAAAAUAUUACAGUAAAACGAUCCAUUUAAAAAAAAAACGAAACAUGCGUCUUGCGUAUCAAAUGAUACGAUUUGUACUAUAUAUAUAAAAAAAAAAUGUGGUAUGAUUGCCAAUGAGACACCUGUCCACAAGAGACCAAAAUGACAAAGACAUUAACAACUAUAGGUCACCGCAUACUAGUAGUCAGCUAUAAAAGGCCCCGAUAUGACAAUGUAAAACGAGAAAACUAACGGUCUUAUUUGUAUAAAAGAAUGAACGAAAAACAAAUAUGUCACAUAUAAACAAACGAAAGCCUCUGAAUUACAGGUUCCUGGCUUGGGGCAGGCACAUUCAUAAAUAAUGUGGCGGGGUUAAAAGUGUUAGCGGGAUCCCAACCCCCC
Molecule: long non-coding RNA, 726 nt
Filed under: Mytilus galloprovincialis (Mediterranean mussel)
Lineage: Eukaryota; Metazoa; Mollusca; Bivalvia; Mytilida; Mytilidae
Source: RNAcentral